RNAcentral lists this ribosomal RNA (282 nucleotides) under uncultured prokaryote. Its description in RNAcentral is "partial 16S ribosomal RNA". It matches the Rfam family "Bacterial small subunit ribosomal RNA", at positions 505 to 786 of the family's 1533-position model. The record is from RNAcentral.
GUGUCAGCAGCCGCGGUAAUACAGAGGGUGCGAGCGUUAAUCGGAUUUACUGGGCGUAAAGCGUGCGUAGGCGGCCAUUUAAGUCAAAUGUGAAAUCCCCGAGCUUAACUUGGGAAUUGCAUUCGAUACUGGAUGGCUAGAGUAUGGGAGAGGAUGGUAGAAUUCCAGGUGUAGCGGUGAAAUGCGUAGAGAUCUGGAGGAAUACCGAUGGCGAAGGCAGCCAUCUGGCCUAAUACCGACGCUGAGGUACGAAAGCAUGGGGAGCAAACAGGAUUAGAAACC